Molecule: ribosomal RNA, 604 nt
Filed under: Pseudoalteromonas sp.
Lineage: Bacteria; Pseudomonadati; Pseudomonadota; Gammaproteobacteria; Alteromonadales; Pseudoalteromonadaceae
Description: bacterial SSU rRNA
Rfam family: Bacterial small subunit ribosomal RNA
Source: RNAcentral
GUUGGAAACGACUGCUAAUACCGCAUAAUGUCUACGGACCAAAGGGGGCUUCGGCUCUCGCCUUUAGAUUGGCCCAAGUGGGAUUAGCUAGUUGGUGAGGUAAUGGCUCACCAAGGCGACGAUCCCUAGCUGGUUUGAGAGGAUGAUCAGCCACACUGGGACUGAGACACGGCCCAGACUCCUACGGGAGGCAGCAGUGGGGAAUAUUGCACAAUGGGCGCAAGCCUGAUGCAGCCAUGCCGCGUGUGUGAAGAAGGCCUUCGGGUUGUAAAGCACUUUCAGUCAGGAGGAAAGGUUAACGGUUAAUACCCGUUAGCUGUGACGUUACUGACAGAAGAAGCACCGGCUAACUCCGUGCCAGCAGCCGCGGUAAUACGGAGGGUGCGAGCGUUAAUCGGAAUUACUGGGCGUAAAGCGUACGCAGGCGGUUUGUUAAGCGAGAUGUGAAAGCCCCGGGCUCAACCUGGGAACUGCAUUUCGAACUGGCAAACUAGAGUGUGAUAGAGGGUGGUAGAAUUUCAGGUGUAGCGGUGAAAUGCGUAGAGAUCUGAAGGAAUACCGAUGGCGAAGGCAGCCACCUGGGUCAACACUGACGCUCAUGUAC